UGUUAACUAUGGGUUGUGCAC
This is a non-coding RNA of Caenorhabditis elegans, 21 nucleotides long. NCBI's taxonomy places the organism in Eukaryota, Metazoa, Nematoda, Chromadorea, Rhabditida, Rhabditidae. The record is from Ensembl.